RNAcentral lists this ribosomal RNA (753 nucleotides) under uncultured Pelosinus sp. Its description in RNAcentral is "partial 16S ribosomal RNA". It matches the Rfam family "Bacterial small subunit ribosomal RNA", at positions 45 to 784 of the family's 1533-position model. Lineage: Bacteria; Bacillati; Bacillota; Negativicutes; Selenomonadales; Sporomusaceae. The record is from RNAcentral.
UGCUACCAUGCAGUCGAACGGAGAAUCAGCAAUGAUUCUUAGUGGCGAACGGGUGAGUAACGCGUAGACAACCUGCCUUCUAGAUGGGGACAACACUGCGAAAGUGGUGCUAAUACCGAAUGUUGUAUUAAGCCUGCAUGGGCUUGAUACUAAAGGUGGCCUCUAUUUAUAAGCUAUCACUAGAAGAUGGGUCUGCGUCUGAUUAGCUAGUUGGUGAGGUAAUGGCUCACCAAGGCGAUGAUCAGUAGCCGGUCUGAGAGGAUGAACGGCCACACUGGGACUGAGACACGGCCCAGACUCCUACGGGAGGCAGCAGUGGGGAAUCUUCCGCAAUGGACGAAAGUCUGACGGAGCAACGCCGCGUGAGUGAAGAAGGUUUUCGGAUCGUAAAGCUCUGUCUUUGAGGACGAAUGUGUCUAAUGUGAAUAAUGUUAGAUAAUGACGGUACUCGAGGAGGAAGCCACGGCUAACUACGUGCCAGCAGCCGCGGUAAUACGUAGGUGGCAAGCGUUGUCCGGAAUUAUUGGGCGUAAAGCGCGCGCAGGCGGGAUAUUAAGUCUGUUUUAAAAGUUCGGGGCUCAACCCCGUGAUGGAAUGGAAACUAAUAUUCUUGAGUGCAGGAGAGGAAAGUGGAAUUCCCAGUGUAGCGGUGAAAUGCGUAGAUAUUGGGAGGAACACCAGUGGCGAAGGCGACUUUCUGGACUGUGUCUGACGCUGAGGCGCGAAAGCCAGGGGAGUGAACGGGAUUAGAUA